GAUGAAGAACGUAGCGAAAUGCGAUACUUGGUGUGAAUUGCAGAAUCCCGUGAACCAUCGAGUCUUUGAACGCAAGUUGCGCCCGAAGCCAUUAGGCCGAGGGCACGCCUGCCUGGGCGUCACACGUCGUUGCCCCCCCAUCUACUCCUUCGGGAUUGCGGGGGGCGGAUGAUGGCCUCCCGUGCGCCUCGUCGCGCGGUUGGCAUAAAUACCAAGUCCUCGGCGACGCACGCCACGACAAUCGGUGGUUGCGAAACCUCGGUUGCCCGUCGUGUGCGGUCGUCGCGCAUCGAGGGCUCGAAAAAAUUGCCGGGCUCCGGCUCGGCUUUCAACGCGACCCCACGUCAGGCGGGGUUACCCGCUGAAUUUAAGCAUAUCAAUAAGCGGAGGA
Molecule: unclassified non-coding RNA, 391 nt
Filed under: soil metagenome
Description: partial contains 5.8S ribosomal RNA, internal transcribed spacer 2, and large subunit ribosomal RNA
Rfam family: 5.8S ribosomal RNA (bases 1-122)
Source: RNAcentral